RNAcentral lists this ribosomal RNA (323 nucleotides) under Enterococcus faecalis. Its description in RNAcentral is "bacterial SSU rRNA". It matches the Rfam family "Bacterial small subunit ribosomal RNA", at positions 314 to 629 of the family's 1533-position model. Lineage: Bacteria; Bacillati; Bacillota; Bacilli; Lactobacillales; Enterococcaceae. The record is from RNAcentral.
UGGGACUGAGACACGGCCCAGACUCCUACGGGAGGCAGCAGUAGGGAAUCUUCGGCAAUGGACGAAAGUCUGACCGAGCAACGCCGCGUGAGUGAAGAAGGUUUUCGGAUCGUAAAACUCUGUUGUUAGAGAAGAACAAGGACGUUAGUAACUGAACGUCCCCUGACGGUAUCUAACCAGAAAGCCACGGCUAACUACGUGCCAGCAGCCGCGGUAAUACGUAGGUGGCAAGCGUUGUCCGGAUUUAUUGGGCGUAAAGCGAGCGCAGGCGGUUUCUUAAGUCUGAUGUGAAAGCCCCCGGCUCAACCGGGGAGGGUCAUUGG